Molecule: ribosomal RNA, 497 nt
Filed under: uncultured bacterium
Lineage: Bacteria
Description: partial 16S ribosomal RNA
Rfam family: Bacterial small subunit ribosomal RNA
Source: RNAcentral
GAUGAACGCUGGCGGCGUGCCUAAUACAUGCAAGUCGAGCGAACAGACGAGGAGCUUGCUCCUCUGACGUUAGCGGCGGACGGGUGAGUAACACGUGGAUAACCUACCUAUAAGACUGGGAUAACUUCGGGAAACCGGAGCUAAUACCGGAUAAUAUAUUGAAGCGCAGGGUGCAAUAGUGAAAGACGGUGGUGCGGGCACGUAUAGAGGGAUCCGCGCCGCAUUAGCUAGUUGGUAAGGUAACGGCUUACCAAGGGAACGAUGCGUAGCCGAGCUGAGUGGGUGGUCGGCCGCCCUGGAACUGAGCCACGGUCCAGGCUCCUGCGGGAGGCAGCAGUAGGGAAUCUUCCGCAGUGGGCGGAAGCCUGGCGGAGCGACGCCGCGUGAGUGAUGAAGGUCUUCGGAUCGUAAAACUCUGUUAUUAGUGAAGAACAAAUGUGUAAGUAACUAUGCACGUCUUGACGGUACCUGAUCAGAAAGCCCCGGCUAACUACGUG